AGGACACGGGCGAGACCAGGCUAGGUGGGGCGGGUGGGGUGGCGUGAAUGUGCACUCUAGGGGGAAGGGAGGCCAGGGCAGAGGCAGGGGCGAGGGGCCAGAGCCGGGCACCGAGCCAGUGGGAGGGGCAUUGGACUUCGAGCUCGUGGCCAAGGCGGGCCUCUGCGGGCGAUGACGGAGCGGGAUCGGUGCCUCUGAGCUCGGAACGGAGACGGAGCCACGUCUCCAGUGGGGUGUUGGUGCCUGCCAGCCACGGAGGCCAGGCGGCCAGGACGCGCACAGAGGGAUAUGAUAUGGUCCGGUGUGAUGGAGAGAGCAGGCGGGACCGUCCAGCCUCCCAGGACACUGGCCCCGCGGGGAGCCCGGAUAUCGACGUUCCUUUAGUCUCCUGA
RNAcentral lists this long non-coding RNA (392 nucleotides) under Bos mutus (wild yak). RNAcentral describes it as "lncRNA (ENSBMUG00000020306.1)". Lineage: Eukaryota; Metazoa; Chordata; Mammalia; Artiodactyla; Bovidae. The record is from RNAcentral.